Molecule: ribosomal RNA, 434 nt
Filed under: uncultured bacterium
Lineage: Bacteria
Description: bacterial SSU rRNA
Rfam family: Bacterial small subunit ribosomal RNA
Source: RNAcentral
AACGAACGCUGGCGGCAGGCCUAACACAUGCAAGUCGAACGCUCGUAGCAAUACGGGAGUGGCAGACGGGUGCGUAACGCGUGGGAACAUACCCUUUGGUUCGGAAUAACUCAGGGAAACUUGAGCUAAUACCGGAUACGCCCGAGAGGGGAAAGAUUUAUUGCCGAAGGAUUGGCCCGCGUCUGAUUAGCUAGUUGGUGAGGUAACGGCUCACCAAGGCGACGAUCAGUAGCUGGUCUGAGAGGAUGAUCAGCCACACUGGGACUGAGACACGGCCCAGACUCCUACGGGAGGCAGCAGUGGGGAAUAUUGGACAAUGGGCGCAAGCCUGAUCCAGCCAUGCCGCGUGAGUGAUGACGGCCUUAGGGUUGUAAAGCUCUUUUACCCGGGAAGAUAAUGACGGUACCGGGAGAAUAAGCCCGGCUAACUUCGUG